This 288-nucleotide small nuclear RNA is filed under the name Erinaceus europaeus (western European hedgehog). Its description in RNAcentral is "7SK RNA (ENSEEUG00000021553.1)". It matches the Rfam family "7SK RNA". Rfam says of the family: 7SK was discovered as an abundant small nuclear RNA in the mid-70s but a possible function has only recently been suggested. Two independent studies have found that 7SK RNA binds the CDK9/cyclin T complex (known as elongation factor P-TEFb). The record is from RNAcentral. Lineage: Eukaryota; Metazoa; Chordata; Mammalia; Eulipotyphla; Erinaceidae.
GUGACAUGAGGAUGAUCAGUCUGCAACAUCUGUCACCCUAUUGAUCUGCGGGGUUGAUUUGGGUGAUCUGGCUGACUGGGUGGGUGUUCCCUUCCUCCCUCACCACUCUCCAUGUGAGUCCCUCCCAAAAUUCCAUGCUCAGUCAAAGAGGAGGACUUCCCCAAGUCAUUUGAGGGUAUGCAUGUAGCUACACUCCCCUAAUAGAACCUACGAACAAGCUCUCCACAUCCAAAGUCCCAGGUUCAGUCCCGCACACCGCCAUAAACUAGAGUUGAGCAGUGCUCUGAU